UGCCCAGACUCCUACGGGAGGCAGCAGUGGGGAAUCUUGCGCAAUGGGCGGAAGCCUGACGCAGCGACGCCGCGUGCGGGACGAAGGCCUUCGGGUCGUAAACCGCUUUCAGCAGGGACGAGGCCCUCACGGUGACGGUACCUGCAGAAGAAGCCCCGGCUAACUACGUGCCAGCAGCCGCGGUCAUACGUAGGAUCCGAGCAUUAUCCGGAGUGACUGGGUGUAAAGAGUUGCGUAGGUGGCAUAGUAAGUAGCUAGUGAAAUCUGGUGGCUCAACCAUUCAGACUAUUAGCUAAACUGCUAAGCUCGAGACCGUUAGGGGUAACUGGAAUUUCUAGUGUAGGAGUGAAAUCCGUAGAUAUUAGAAGGAACACCGAUAGCGUAGGCAGGUUACUGGGACGGUUCUGACACUAAGGCACGAAAGCGUAGGGAGCAAACGGGAUUAGAUACCCUAGUACCA
This 460-nucleotide ribosomal RNA is filed under the name uncultured bacterium. Its description in RNAcentral is "bacterial SSU rRNA". It matches the Rfam family "Bacterial small subunit ribosomal RNA", at positions 328 to 797 of the family's 1533-position model. The record is from RNAcentral.